CAGCCGCCGCGGGAAUACAGAGGGUGCAAGCGUUAAUCGGAAUUACUGGGCGUAAAGCGUGCGCAGGCGGUUAUAUAAGACAGAUGUGAAAUCCCCGGGCUCAACCUGGGAACUGCAUUUGUGACUGUAUAGCUAGAGUACGGCAGAGGGGGAUGGAAUUCCGCGUGUAGCAGUGAAAUGCGUAGAUAUGCGGAGGAACACCGAUGGCGAAGGCAAUCCCCUGGGCCUGUACUGACGCUCAUGCACGAAAGCGUGGGGAGCAAACAGGAUUAGAUACCCCGGUAGUCCCUGUCUCUUAUAC
This 301-nucleotide ribosomal RNA is filed under the name uncultured bacterium. RNAcentral's name for it is "partial 16S ribosomal RNA". It matches the Rfam family "Bacterial small subunit ribosomal RNA", at positions 509 to 807 of the family's 1533-position model. The record is from RNAcentral.